This 1118-nucleotide ribosomal RNA is filed under the name Indian Sesame fasciation phytoplasma. RNAcentral describes it as "bacterial SSU rRNA". It matches the Rfam family "Bacterial small subunit ribosomal RNA", at positions 234 to 1356 of the family's 1533-position model. Lineage: Bacteria; Bacillati; Mycoplasmatota; Mollicutes; Acholeplasmatales; Acholeplasmataceae. The record is from RNAcentral.
CGUCACAUUAGUUAGUUGGUGGGGUAAAGGCCUACCAAGACUAUGAUGUGUAGCCGGGCUGAGAGGUUGAACGGCCACAUUCGGGACUGAGACACGGCCCAAACUCCUACGGGAGGCAGCAGUAGGGAAUUUUCGGCAAUGGAGGAAACUCUGACCGAACAACGCCCGCGUGGAACGAUGAAGUAUUUCGGUACGUAAAGUUCUUUUAUUAGGGAAGAAUAAAUGAUGGAAAAAUCAUUCUGACGGUACCUAAUGAAUAAGCCCCGGCUAACUAUGUGCCAGCAGCCGCGGUAAUACAUAGGGGGCAAGCGUUAUCCGGAAUUAUUGGGCGUAAAGGGUGCGUAGGCGGUUAAAUAAGUUUAUGGUCUAAGUGCAAUGCUCAACAUUGUGAUGCUAUAAAAACUGUUUAGCUAGAGUAAGAUAGAGGCAAGUGGAAUUCCAUGUGUAGUGGUAAAAUGCGUAAAUAUAUGGAGGAACACCAGUAGCGAAGGCGGCUUGCUGGGUCUUUACUGACGCUGAGGCACGAAAGCGUGGGGAGCAAACAGGAUUAGAUACCCUGGUAGUCCACGCCGUAAACGAUGAGUACUAAACGUUGGGUAAAACCAGUGUUGAAGUUAACACAUUAAGUACUCCGCCUGAGUAGUACGUACGCAAGUAUGAAACUUAAAGGAAUUGACGGGACUCCGCACAAGCGGUGGAUCAUGUUGUUUAAUUCGAAGGUACCCGAAAAACCUCACCAGGUCUUGACAUGCUUCUGCAAAGCUGUAGAAACACAGUGGAGGUUAUCAGUUGCACAGGUGGUGCAUGGUUGUCGUCAGCUCGUGUCGUGAGAUGUUGGGUUAAGUCCCGCAACGAGCGCAACCCUUAUUGUUAGUUACCAGCACGUAAUGGUGGGGACUUUAGCAAGACUGCCAGUGAUAAAUUGGAGGAAGGUGGGGACGACGUCAAAUCAUCAUGCCCCUUAUGACCUGGGCUACAAACGUGAUACAAUGGCUGUUACAAAGGGUAGCUGAAGCGCAAGUUUUUGGCGAAUCUCAAAAAAACAGUCUCAGUUCGGAUUGAAGUCUGCAACUUGACUUCCAGAAGUUGGAAUCGCUAGGAAACGCGAAUUCACGGCC